This 234-nucleotide ribosomal RNA is filed under the name uncultured bacterium. RNAcentral's name for it is "partial 16S ribosomal RNA". It matches the Rfam family "Bacterial small subunit ribosomal RNA", at positions 118 to 350 of the family's 1533-position model. The record is from RNAcentral.
UGGGCAACCUGCCCCUCUCUCUGGGAUAACCCCGGGAAACCGGAGCUAAUACCGGAUACUCCGGCUGGAUCGCAUGGACCGGCCGGGAAAGGUCCGCCGGAGAGGGAUGGGCCCGCGGCCUAUCAGCUUGUUGGUGGGGUCAUGGCUCACCAAGGCGACGACGGGUAGCUGGUCUGAGAGGACGACCAGCCCACACUGGAACUGAGAUACGGUCCAGACCUCCUACGGGAGGCA